RNAcentral lists this non-coding RNA (76 nucleotides) under Ferrithrix thermotolerans DSM 19514. The record is from RNAcentral. Lineage: Bacteria; Bacillati; Actinomycetota; Acidimicrobiia; Acidimicrobiales; Acidimicrobiaceae.
GGAAGCCGGAUGAAUCGCGAGGUUCACGUCCGGUUUGACGGGAGCAGGAGGGGGAAGUUCCCUCCCUCCACCCUAC